ACUCAAAUGAAUUGACGGGGGCCCGCACAAGCAGCGGAGCGUGUGGUUUAAUUCGAGGCUACGCGAAAAACCUUACCUGGGUUUGACAUCCCCGGAACGAACCCGAAAGGGGGAGGUACCCGCAAGGGACUGGGAGACAGGUGCUGCAUGGCUGUCGUCAGCUCGUGUCGUGAGAUGUUCGGUUAAGUCCGAAAACGAGCGCAACCCUCGGUUCGUGUUACAAGUGUCACGAACGACUGCCUGCGGCAAGCAGGAGGAAGGUGGGGAUGAUGUCAAGUCAGCAUGGCCUUUAUAUCCAGGGCUACACACACGCUACAAUGGUCAGUACAGUGGGUCGCGAAGCCGCGAGGUGGAGCCAAUCCUAAAAAGCUGAUCGUAGUUCGGAUUGUAGGCUGCAACUCGCCUGCAUGAAGUUGGAGUUGCUAGUAACCGCAAAUCAGCACGUUGCGGUGAAUACGUUCCCGGGCCUUGCACACACCGCCCGU
This 485-nucleotide ribosomal RNA is filed under the name uncultured bacterium. RNAcentral describes it as "partial 16S ribosomal RNA". It matches the Rfam family "Bacterial small subunit ribosomal RNA", at positions 899 to 1397 of the family's 1533-position model. The record is from RNAcentral.